UUUGUCCAUCAGUGCAUAACGUAAUAUCUCGAUAAACUAUUGAAGGUCGACCUCCGACCCAAUGUCGCAAUUUCGUACGUCUUAAUCUUGUAAGGGAUCUAGCAUCAACAGAAUGAUUUCACUCGGCGUCUGUGAGCGCAGCGAUUAUUUCUGUUUUAAGUUGUUCUAUUCGAUACGAGCACGUCAUGAAGUUGUUCCUGAUCAUUUUGACCGUAUUUUACUUGACAAUUAUCUCAGAGGCUAGCUCGAAUUUGACAACAAUCAUUAGCAACGAUACCCUUGUGUUUAAGAUGAUGAUUUCACCUCCGUACAGAACCAAUUGCGAAAAAGGAGAAAUAUAUUUCAAAGGAAAGUGCCGUUUAAUCUUCCUAUAGGAUUGGAGAUGAGGCUCAACAAGAAGACCACGUAUAUUGUACAUUUGGAGCAAAUAGUAUAACUACAUUUUUCAAUUAACAAAAUAUACAGUGAUGUAAAUGAAUGUAAAAUGUACAAAUGUACAUUAAUGUAGAUCCACCUUUAUUGUCUCUAAUAAUAAAAAACCUGUUUUAAUUGCCUUU
Long non-coding RNA from Cimex lectularius (bed bug), 557 nucleotides. RefSeq lists it as uncharacterized. Lineage: Eukaryota; Metazoa; Arthropoda; Insecta; Hemiptera; Cimicidae. The record is from RefSeq and is a predicted model, not a curated record. The transcript is spliced from 2 exons.